AUUGUAACCUUGGGGUUGGCUCUUGUCUAUGUUUCUUGGAACAGGACGUCACAGAGGGUGAGAAUCCCGUGCGAUGAGAUGCCCAAUCCUAUGUAAGGUGCUUUCGAAGAGUCGAGUUGUUUGGGAAUGCAGCUCUAAGUGGGUGGUAAAUUCCAUCUAAAGCUAAAUAUUGGCGAGAGACCGAUAGCGAACAAGUACAGUGAUGGAAAGAUGAAAAGAACUUUGAAAAGAGAGUGAAAAAGUACGUGAAAUUGUUGAAAGGGAAGGGUUUGAGAUCAGACUCGAUAUUUUGUGAGCCUUGCCUUCGUGGCGGGGUGACCCGCAGCUUAUCGGGCCAGCAUCGGUUUGGGCGGUAGGAUAAUGGCGUAGGAAUGUGACUUUGCUUCGGUGAAGUGUUAUAGCCUGCGUUGAUGCUGCCUGCCUAGACCGAGGACUGCGAUUUUAUCAAGGAUGCUGGCAUAAUGAUCCCAAACCGC
Molecule: ribosomal RNA, 476 nt
Filed under: Meyerozyma caribbica
Lineage: Eukaryota; Fungi; Ascomycota; Pichiomycetes; Serinales; Debaryomycetaceae
Description: partial large subunit ribosomal RNA
Rfam family: Eukaryotic large subunit ribosomal RNA
Source: RNAcentral